UGCAUAUCAAAAGCGGAGGAAAAGAAACCAACAGGGAUUGCUCUAGUAACGGCGAGUGAAGCGGCAACAGCUCAAAUUUGAAAUCUGGCUCUUUCAGAGUCCGAGUUGUAAUUUGCAGAGGGCGCUUUGGCUUUGGCAGCGGUCCAAGUUCCUUGGAACAGGACGUCACAGAGGGUGAGAAUCCCGUACGUGGUCGCUAGCUAUUGCCGUGUAAAGCCCCUUCGACGAGUCGAGUUGUUUGGGAAUGCAGCUCUAAAUGGGAGGUAAAUUUCUUCUAAAGCUAAAUAUUGGCCAGAGACCGAUAGCGCACAAGUAGAGUGAUCGAAAGAUGAAAAGCACUUUGGAAAGAGAGUCAAACAGCACGUGAAAUUGUUGAAAGGGAAGCGCUUGCAGCCAGACUUGCUUGCAGUUGCUCAUCCGGGCUUUUGCCCGGUGCACUCUUCUGCAGGCAGGCCAGCAUCAGUUUGGGCGGUGGGAUAAAGGUCUCUGACACGUUCCUUCCUUCGGGUUGGCCAUAUAGGGGAGACGUCAUACCACCAGCCUGGACUGAGGUCCGCGCAUCUGCUAGGAUGCUGGCGUAAUGGCUGUAAGCGGCCCGUCUUGAACCACGGACCA
This 615-nucleotide ribosomal RNA is filed under the name Curvularia lunata. RNAcentral's name for it is "partial large subunit ribosomal RNA". It matches the Rfam family "Eukaryotic large subunit ribosomal RNA", at positions 37 to 668 of the family's 3401-position model. The record is from RNAcentral. Lineage: Eukaryota; Fungi; Ascomycota; Dothideomycetes; Pleosporales; Pleosporaceae.